GUGCCUCAGUGGGCCCCACCCACAAGCAACCAACUGUCAGUGAGUGACAUUAGUUGUUCUGCUCAGCUAUUGGUCAGCGCUGCAGUGGGUCCUGCCCACAAAUAACUGUCAGUGAGGAACCACUGGGGAGAGACAGAAUAAAAGAAAUCUACUGGUAUCCAUACAUCAUACUUUGUACCUACUGGAAAGAGGAAGAAGAAAGCAAUGACAUAGCUCUCUAUUAUACUAUUCUGGACUAGAAUUUGCUCUGCCAAGGUCUGGAAUCCCAGCAUGCAUCAUAAAAUGGUACUGUGAUAAGACUUGUGAAUAUGCAUUAGAAUUGAUGCUACAUCAAGAUUAAGUUGAUGAUCCUGGAGACAUCUAUUUCCUAGAUGUAAAUCAUUGAAGAUGGAUGGGAAAAUGUUUGUAAAAUUUUAU
This 417-nucleotide long non-coding RNA is filed under the name Capra hircus (goat). Its description in RNAcentral is "lncRNA (ENSCHIG00000007081.1)". Lineage: Eukaryota; Metazoa; Chordata; Mammalia; Artiodactyla; Bovidae. The record is from RNAcentral.